Molecule: ribosomal RNA, 443 nt
Filed under: uncultured bacterium
Lineage: Bacteria
Description: partial 16S ribosomal RNA
Rfam family: Bacterial small subunit ribosomal RNA
Source: RNAcentral
CCUACGGGAGGCAGCAGUGGGGAAUAUUGGGCAAUGGAGGCAACUCUGACCCAGCAACGCCGCGUGAAUGAUGAAGGUCUUCGGAUUGUAAAGUUCUGUGAUGGGGGAUGAACACAAUGACGGUACCCCAAUAGCAAGCCACGGCUAACUACGUGCCAGCAGCCGCGGUAAUACGUAGGUGGCAAGCGUUAUCCGGAAUGACUGGGCGUAAAGGGUGCGUAGGGUGUUUAGUAAGUUGGCGGUGUAAUUCCGGGGCUCAACCUCCGCGAUACCGCCAAAACUAGUAGACUAGAGUGCAGGGGGGGUACGUGGAAUUCGUAGUGUAGCGGUGGAAUGCGUAGAUAUUAGGAGGAACAUCAGGGGCGAAGGCGACUUACUGGACUGUAACUGACGCUGAGGCACGAAAGCGUGGGGAGCAAACAGGAUUAGAUACCCGGGUAGUC